This is a long non-coding RNA of Bos taurus (domestic cattle), 934 nucleotides long. The record is from Ensembl. NCBI's taxonomy places the organism in Eukaryota, Metazoa, Chordata, Mammalia, Artiodactyla, Bovidae.
ACUGGGACCUGGGCACUUGAGCGAGGAGGUACAAGAGUGGAUGGAAUUACUCAGAGGCAGGGUGGAGAGUGACAGAAGACAGUGGACUUCUCUUGAGGAAGAGCGUGGUUGGACAGUAGCUGGGAGAGAGCACAAGGGAGGGUUUGGCAGCUGCAUGGGGUUGCCUGGACCCAAUGCCUGGCUUGCCCUUAGCACAUUAACCCCACUGCUGUUGGCCUAUUCGCACAAGGACCUGACUGACACCGCUGCCUGCCUGGAUUGCUGCCAAAUGUCUCACUCUGUGGGGUGCUGCCAGCCAGCCAGCCAGCUAACCAGACCCACACUGUGCCUCCCUGAUACUACCUUGAAAUCCCUGUGGACCCAGUCACGGUUCCCACUUGGUGGUCUGCCGUGUCUGGGUCCUGGCCAUUGCUCAGCUGGCUUCUCUCACUGGCUCUGAUGUUCAGAAUCUCACUUGCUGUGAUGGGAAGGACCACCCGUGGUACGGAGCACAUGGGAUCUGCCUGCAGGCUUUCUCGUGUGUCUUGCAAUCUACCAGCCCUCCCCGGACACUGGUUUGUACUGAUUUCCAGAGACUUCAUACAUCCUGCCAGGCUCUUCUGUCCAUGGACUUCUCCAGGCAAAAAUACUAGAGUGGACUGCCAUUUGCUUCUUCAGGGGAUCUUCCCGACCCAGGGAUUGAACCUGGGUCUCCGGCCUUGUCGGAAGAUUCUUUACCGUCUGAGCCACCAGGGAAGACUGUAGGACCAGCACAGCAUCAUGAAUCAAAUAGAGGCCAUGGGACUUCCCUGGUGAUACAUGCUCCUAAUGCAGGGGUCCUGGGUUUAAUCCCUGGCCAAAGGGAUUGGAUCCCAUGUGCUGCAACUAAGUGAGGGUUCGCAUACUGCAACUAAAGAUACUGCAUGCCACAAUAAGACCUGGCACAGCCAAAAAA